This 443-nucleotide ribosomal RNA is filed under the name uncultured bacterium. RNAcentral describes it as "partial 16S ribosomal RNA". It matches the Rfam family "Bacterial small subunit ribosomal RNA", at positions 338 to 795 of the family's 1533-position model. The record is from RNAcentral.
CCUACGGGAGGCAGCAGUGGGGAAUAUUGGGCAAUGGGCGCAAGCCUGACCCAGCAACGCCGCGUGAAGGAAGAAGGCCCUCGGGUUGUAAACUUCUUUUGUCAGGGACGAAGCAAGUGACGGUACCUGACGAAUAAGCCACGGCUAACUACGUGCCAGCAGCCGCGGUAAUACGUAGGUGGCAAGCGUUAUCCGGAUUUACUGGGUGUAAAGGGCGUGUAGGCGGGGAAGCAAGUCAGAUGUGAAAUUCCAGGGCUCAACCCCUAGAGUGCAACUGAUACUGUAUAACUUGAGUGUGAGAGAGGGAAGCGGAAUUCCUAGUGUAGCGGUGAAAUGCGUAGAUAUUAGGAGGAACACCAGUGGCGAAGGCGGCUUUCUGGCUCAUAACUGACGCUGAGGCGCGAAAGCGUGGGGAGCAAACAGGAUUAGAUACCCGGGUAGUC